Molecule: long non-coding RNA, 290 nt
Filed under: Apteryx rowi (Okarito brown kiwi)
Lineage: Eukaryota; Metazoa; Chordata; Aves; Apterygiformes; Apterygidae
Description: lncRNA (ENSARWG00000008090.1)
Source: RNAcentral
GUUAACACAUGGCUGCCAGGUUGGAUUGUGCUAAUUUUAUUUGUGCAGUUCAGUCUUCAGUGAUGUAGGGAGGAGUACGAAACAAUACUGAGACCAUAUGUUCCGAUUAACACAACUGAAUUCAAAGCAAUGCUUUUCCCUGCUCAGCUGGAAAACAAGCCCACAGUUUUCAGUGCUGCCAUAUAAGUGUUCAGAAGUAAGAUGACAAAGAAACAUAGAAAGAUCCCUUAAUUCACAUCAAAUAAGAACAGGCUUAAGGAAAACAAAACGAAUUAAGUCUCCCCAUUCAG